This 73-nucleotide transfer RNA is filed under the name Nitrospirota bacterium. Its description in RNAcentral is "Nitrospirae bacterium (sediment metagenome) tRNA-Lys". It matches the Rfam family "tRNA". Rfam says of the family: Transfer RNA (tRNA) molecules are approximately 80 nucleotides in length. RNAcentral also lists the same sequence under 1 other name. The record is from RNAcentral. Lineage: Bacteria; Pseudomonadati; Nitrospirota.
GGGCCGUUAGCUCAGCAGGUAGAGCAGCUGACUCUUAAUCAGCGGGUCGGAGGUUCGAAUCCUCCACGGCUCA